CCUACGGGAGGCAGCAGUGGGGAAUAUUGCACAAUGGGGGAAACCCUGAUGCAGCGACGCCGCGUGAGUGAAGAAGUAUUUCGGUAUGUAAAGCUCUAUCAGCAGGGAAGAAAGUGACGGUACCUGAUUAAGAAGCCCCGGCUAACUACGUGCCAGCAGCCGCGGUAAUACGUAGGGGGCAAGCGUUAUCCGGAUUUACUGGGUGUAAAGGGGGCGUAGACGGCAGCACAAGUCUGGAUGGAAAUGCCGGGGCUUAACCCCGGAACUGCUUUGGAAACUGUGCAGCUAGAGUGCAGGAGAGGUAAGUGGAAUGCCUAGGGUAGCGGGGAAAUGCGUAGAUAUUAGGAGGAACACCAGUGGCGAAGGCGGCUUACUGGACUGUAACUGACGUUGAGGCUCGAAAGCGUGGGGAGCAAACAGGAUUAGAUACCCGAGUAGUC
This 440-nucleotide ribosomal RNA is filed under the name uncultured bacterium. RNAcentral describes it as "partial 16S ribosomal RNA". It matches the Rfam family "Bacterial small subunit ribosomal RNA", at positions 338 to 795 of the family's 1533-position model. The record is from RNAcentral.